Molecule: long non-coding RNA, 2653 nt
Organism: Gallus gallus (chicken)
Lineage: Eukaryota; Metazoa; Chordata; Aves; Galliformes; Phasianidae
Source: Ensembl
GUCAUAUCCAUCAAUCCCAGUGGAGCAGCUCUGUGUUUGUGUCGUUGUCUACCGAGAGCAGAUGGGGGAGGGGAACCUGGGGGUAGGACCAUUUAAGGUUGGCAUGCUUGCCUGUGAUUAUGGAAAUACUUACCAGUAGGAGGAAUACAGCUAAGAUCUUCCUAAAAUCUGGACCUUUGCUGAAAUUAUUUUUAGAAAUGGCAAUUAAGAAUCAUUAAAAAGACAUGAAAAGCAAUGCAAACAUUACCUCUGUGCUGCAGUGCUUGAAGGAAUGAAUAGGAAAAAACAGGACAACUUCAAUAUCUGUGGAGAAGCACCCCAAAUGGAAAUGUGGCAGCAUGAGCAAUUAUUACAUUUACUGCUGGGACUGGAACUUUGAUUCUGACUCAAAAUGCUUUUUGAAGGAAUUUUUUGGCACCUAGAGUUAACCAAGUUUGUUAUAAGCCAGAAAGUGAAUCACCUUGGAAAGUCUGAAAUUUCCAUAGCUGCCAUUAAGCAAGGGCAAACAAAGUGUAUUUCCACAUUAUAAGAAAUUUUUACAUGAUAUUUAGCUCCUAGCUACUCACUCAAAAUCAGUCAAUUCUUGUAGUUUGCACUGAGUUGAAUCUCCUUGACUUUUCUGAUGCUUUGUUAUUUGAAAGAAAAGGUGAGGGCUGGGUUGCAGUGUUAGACUAUUUAUAUUCAUAAUAGGACAUGAAGUCCCUGAUCAAAACUGCACAUCACUAGGCAUGGCCUUUCCCUCCAAAAUCUACAAGACAGACUUGAAAUGUUAUCACUGCUUCACAGAAUCAGAUAAUCAGGUAAUUAUAGGGGUUGCAAGGGACCUCUGGAGAUCAUGGAGUCUAUCCCCCUUGCUAAAGCAGGUUCCCUACAGCAGGUUGCACAUGUAGGUGUCCAGGAGGAUCUUGAAUAUCUCCAGAGAAGGAGACUCUACAACCUCUCUGAGCAACCUGUUCCAGUGCUCUGUCACAGUAAAGAAGGUGUAAAGAAAGUAAAUAAGUUUUUCCUCAUGUUCACAUGGAACUUCCUGUGUUCCAGUUUGUGCCUGCUGUCCCUUGUACUAUCUCUGGGGACACAAAAAGAGCCUGAACCUGUUCAUUUGACUCCAACCUUUCAGAUAUUUAUAAGCAUUGAUAAGAUCCCCUCUCAGUCUUCUCAUCUUCAGGCUGAGCAGUCCCAGAUCUCUCAGCCUUUCCUCAUAAGGGAGAUGCUCUAGGCCCCUAAUCAUUGACCUCACCAGGAUAAAGUAGAGGAGUAGGAUAACCUCCCUUGGCCAGCUCUUUUCAAUGCACCCUGGGAUACGAUUACCCUUCUUGACCAUAAAGGCACACUACUGACUCAUGACUAACCUAUUGUCCACCAGGACACCAAGGUCCUUCUUUGCCGAGCUCUUUUCCAGCCAGUCCUCCCCUAACCUGUACUGCUGCAUGUGAUUAUCCCUCCCCAGAUGUAGGACCCUGCACUUGCUGUUGUUGAGCCUCACGAGGGUUCCUCCCCACCCAACUCUCCAGCUUGUCCAGGUCUCACUGAAUGGCAGCACAGCCUUCUGGUAUGUCAGCCACUCCUCCCAGCUUCAUAUCAUUAGCAAAUUAUCCUCUCAUCCAGGUCAUUGAUAAAGACAUAGAACAAGGCUGGACCCAGCACCAGGCCCUGGGGAGCAUUGUUAGUUACAGGCCUCCAACCAGACUCUGUGACAGUGAUCACAAACCCUUGAGUUCUGCCAGUCAGCCAGUUCUCAACUGUCCACUCAUCUGUUGUGCAGUUCCUAAGCUUACCUAUGAGAAUGUUAUGGGAGACAUUGUCAGACACCCAUGGAUGCAGUCUUGUCCUCUUGCAAUUGGAGAAUAGCCUGUCUACUUCAGCCUGCAGUGCUGAUAUAUCUGAAAUGAACUUGUUUACAUCGAUGGUCCAGAAAAGCUACCAGACAAGUACUUCUAAAAGACUUUAUAUACUGUCAUUUCUGUCUUCAACUGCUGAGUGUUAGAAUGGAAGAACUAUUUGCUAUUAGUUUCAACAAAAGUCAUUACUGGGAACAAGACGUUCCAUGAUCAGCAGAACUAAUGAAAUGAUGUUUCUUGUGGAUAUGUCUCAAGCUUCAAGUCACUCCUUCUUGCUCCUUUUGAAGACUGGAGUUAUACUGGUUUUCCACCUCCCCAGUAGGGGUUAUCCAAGAUCUGCUUAAGGAUAACUGGAGCCUGUCUUAUUCUGGCUGGUACAAGUAAUUAAGUUCCCAUAUAACCUAGGCUGUAAAUUUUCAUGAAACUUGUAAAUUUUCAUGAAACUUGUACAUGAAACUUGAUUGAAACAGGUUCAUAAGUUGUCAGAAGGACAUAAAGAUGAAUGGAUGAACACAUAGCUGGGAUUGUGUAAAUCCUUAUUUUCUCUGGUAACCAAGAUAGAGGUAAUCUCCACAUACAGAUUUUAAUGUAGAAAAAGGCUAUUUAUGGAAAUCUUCAUACUCUUUUCUAUCUUAUAAAGAGAUGCAACCUGACUUCUCUCUUCUAUAUGAUUGAUGACCUAUAGGGAAAUGUAUGUUUAAAGGUAUUCUGUCAAAGAUUUUCAACAAUUGCCCGUUUUCCUCUUACAAGUUUCCUGCAUUAUUUUUGUCCUUUUUGAUGAGCAGAAACUGACUGUGAGAUUUCUCUCUUUUUGC